CUCCAUCAAAUCACUCGUAGUCUGGGUAUUCGAAGCCCAGGGCAUCCAUUACCCAAUUCAAUCUUUGUUUUUUCUCAACUACUAAAGGCAGUAGUCAUUGUCACACCCGAAUUUAAGGAACAAAGUCGGGUGCAUCUCAUAUAUGCGCCAGAGAAGACACCACAUAUAAUAAUAAAGUGCAUAGAGAUAAAUGUCAUAAAUAUCAUAAAUGUACUUAUUACAUAGCAAAAGUCUUACAAUGAUAAACUAAGCGAACUAAAUAUUAUUCCCUGGCGCCACAAAGCUGACUGAGAGACGCCACCUAGAUCAAGUCGAAAGCCUCAGUGCUAGACGGCUCCUCUUCGACCACCUGUUCUUCUCCUAUGGGGGUGUGAGACAGCAAGAGUGAGCUCACACAUGUUCAUCGCUCAACAAGGUUUAGGGAAUAUUGUGCAUGAAUGUAACACUCCAGGUUCCACAAACAACCCGGUAUGCUACUGUACUACACUUCCGACGUCCAUAUAUAAAAUUUCGGCAGCAUCCCCUUUGCAAGAUUGCAUAAAAGAGGGAGCAACGGAGUAUAAACAUAUAUCAUGACUAAAACAUACUAAGUAUUAUUACUCGGCUAGCAAGGAAAGAUAAACAUACGACCUGAACUGAAUUAACCAGUGCGCACGACCAUAUAAAAAAAUAAACAAACUUCCUUUGACAAUAAGUUUCUAAUUAAAUCAUGGCUGCGCCUGGGCAGCGUUAUUGUGAGAGUGAAAGUGGACGUGCUGCUACUCCUCUCAUUCCCAACAUGUAUCAAGUACCUGCAUUGAGUAAUGCAAGAGUGAGAUGACACAUCUCAGCAAGUAAAAUAAUAUCAAACAGUUUAACCACAUAAGAACAUUGUUUUACCACCACUUAAUUCCACAACCUUCUUAUUACGAAGGUGCAGCACGUAUACAACGUACAACGCACCUAGUUACCACACCUCGCAGGUAGAAACCACAAUAGUAACAUAGUAAUGUCACACUUUAUAUAUUCCUCAUGAGUGCAAAUGUCUGCAAAUGCAAGGAUGACUUCUGCCUUCAUACCUCUAAGGAUAUGAAGCCGCAUCGUACCCCUCCUCGGGCAACGUACGAUGCUAAAAAUGUACCGGUACGGUCGGACCAUAAGAUCACGACAUAACUUCAAAAUGCAAGAUGGAUGAUGCGAUGUGCAUGUCAUGCCUACAACACUUCAUAUAACAUGAUUCAAAAAGACACUUCAACUUCAUCCAGAUGGGAAUCAACCCCAUAUAUCAUUACCAAAUUAUGAUCAUCCACAAUAUUAGACAAUUGAGAAUUAAUACUUCCAAACAAAUAAACUUCAUCAUAGAAUUCAAUGAUUAACAUAAUUAAAACUUAUGCAUACUCAAUGACAGGGAAUAGGAUGCAAACCAAACGGUAGCAACCACCACUGUAUUUACUUGCCUUUACCGGAAGUUCGGGCAAAUCCCAAGUACGAUCCGGAAGCCCAGCACCUGUUUUUGACACCCAACUUAGUACACCAAUUUCACAUAAUCAGGCUCAUAAGCGACGCCGCACCUACGCACAAACUCAAACCCCGCCGCGGGUUACAUCUCUCCCUACACCCACCAAACUGCAGCGGCGCUGCUUAAUAAUUUCAUAACUUUAAAAUUAUGACAGCAGUGGUAACAAACAAAAACUCCAGAGGCAUCUACAUAAAAUUCCCCACAAGUUUUGUAUACAAUUUAUAAUUAAAUUCCAAUAUCUAAUUAGCCCAAAACAGUCCACAAGAUGAACACUGUAAUCUGUUUUUUCUUUGUCUUUUGGACAGCGACAUACCCAGAUUCAAACAGCGAUAUCUUUUAAAAUAUAAUUCCAAAUCAAGCGCAUAAGUACUCAUUGGAAAGAUAAGACAAAUCCCUACAUGAUUACCAUACUGGUUAACACUAAUUACCCACGAAAAAUUCCCAGAAACUGCUAAUACCACUGCUGUUCACCCACCUGAAAAAUCUGUUUUUUUUGGACAGCAACAUAACCGGAUUCAAACAACGAUAUCUCCUGAAUUAUAACUCCGAAUCGAGCACAUAAGUACUUGUUGGAAAGAUAACAUAAAGCCCUACAUGAUUCUCAUACUGAUUAACACUAAUUACUCCCGAAAAAUCCCCAGAAACUGCUAAUACUGCUGCUGUUCAUCCCCCUGAAAAAUCUGUUUUUUUUGGACAGCCACACCCGGAUUCAAACGGUGAUAACUUUCAAUUUAUAACUCCAAAUUGAGCGCAUAAAUACUCGUUGGAAAGGUAAGGUAAAGUUCUACAUGAUCCCCAAACUGAUUUCCCUUAAUUCCUCACGAAAAAAACACAGAAACUGCUAGACUACUGCUGUUCACCCACCACCUAAAAUUCUGGACAGCCCCCCUCUAUCCCAAUCGCAAACGCAACCUCUAAUCAAUUAAAUUGCAGCGCAAAUGAACAAGGGAUGAACACAAAAACCACCUUGGAUUCUCCCCCUUUCCUUCCUCCCUUCUUGCCUCCACCAAAACGAUUGAAGACUCGCACCACAACGACGAUGAUCCGAGCGGCAAGGAUUAGCACCUUGGGAGGAGGGGAUUGAGAGGGGGGGGGGGGCGGCUAGGGUUUGGUGGCUGCAAGAAUUGAGAGAGGAGGAGAUGGGCAGGGGGGCGGCGGCCAAGGGGGAAGAGAAGUGGGGGGGGGGGGGGCGGCUGCACAUGGGGGGAGGGGGUUAGGAGGGAGGCGGCUAGGGUUUGGGAGGGUUAAUGGGCCAAAACUCCAAUUGCGGCCCAACUAACCCACGCGACAGCUCCCGACCGUAAUGCAAGCGUCAAACCAAAUAAAUUCUACUGCCCUAGUUGUGAAUGUUUUCCACAAAAUCCCAAAUCCCCAAAACAACAACCGGAUGAGGAAAAAAAACAAAAAGAACAACCCCCAACUUCUCUUCUUUGCAAACCGGGUAUCACACUCUACCCCUCUUAAAAAGAAUUCGACCUCGAAUUCUGACGCUUCUAUCGGAACAACAAAAGAAAGGUUAAUGAAUCAACAAAACUCACACAUAAAGAAAAGUUCGAGUACUUCUGCCGUAUCAGCUCCUCAAGCUCCUAGGAUUCUAAGAUAUGCAGCAGACGACACUCUAGAGUCUGCUCUUGCUACACAGGAAUCGGCUCUAGCUCGAUUUGAUGGUCUGGAUUCCGCAAAUACUUCCUCAACAAAAAGACAUGGAAUACUUGGUGUACUCUGAUCACAGAUUCCGACAAUUACAUGUGCUAAGCCCAGCUGCCAACUCGGCCAAGAUAGCAGACGGUCUUAUAUACCUCGGACCAAGCUUUCCUGACACCAAAUCAAUCAUUGACAUAUGCAAGUACUUCAAGGAAUGUAUAUAUGAAUGCAAGGCAUAUAAUGUUCCUAUAGGCUAAACCAAACUUAGCCACACAAGAGCAACUUCAAGAGAGCAACUUAAUGCUUGCAUAUUUCUAGAUAGCAGCUCAGCGGUUAAUUGUUUUGCUCCUAACUCACAAAAAUAUGCAUCGAAAAUUAGUAAACUAGGACUUUAUGGAAAACUUAUAAAGUCCACUAUACCCUUGGUAUUAUCAUCACAACAGGAUUUGACACUUAGAAAGGUCAAACAGUGCUAAGCGUAAAUUCUGUCUAGACUUGGACAUAAUUCAACUACUCAAUUCAAAAAUCCAUAAUUGGAGUCUCAAUCAUCCAAUUCAGGUGCUCCCAGACUUUUUAGAAAGCUAGUAGAAUUGUCUAUAAUUCAUUUAUAAACAUAUCAAGUUAAUUCAAUGCAUAUUAAGGUCAAAAGACACGAGAAAGACUCUACUGUCCAAAUUUGGACAGAUUCAGAGAUCACACUUAAAACAGCUGUAACUUAACUUAUAGAUCUCCAAAAAAAAUCAAUCCAAAAUUUGUUGUAACUAUUAAGAAAAGUACUACAACUUAUUUAUAAUUUAUAAUAAGUUAUUCGAAGUUUAAAUUGGGCAAACAAGGUCAGCUUCGAAAUCUGUAUAGAAUCUGCACAGAUUUCAAGACUAGACUUGAGAAAAUCAUAACUCCCAAACUACUAGACCUAUGGUCAUGAAAUUUUUACACAAGUAAGAUAAAUAAGUUGGCUACAACUUUUAUAUAUAACAUCUCUACAGAAAAGAUGGUUUACUUCACUGAACUAGCUGCAUAACUAAAACUGGUCAUGCAGUCCCAAUAGCAAGCAAUAGAUUUUAUCAGGUUCAUUACUCUUCUAAGAUUAAGCGUUCAUUGAAAGACUAAUAACUUUAGGUUCUUCAUUACGAGACACCUAGAACAAAUAUAAGUAUAGAAGCAAUAUGAUAACUUUUUAAAUCAUUUAAGCCUAAUCUCACAUCAUGCAAACAAGAAUCAAUUUAAGCAUGUUAUGUCUGCCCACAUAUUCAUCCAAGCACAUUCUAUACAUGAUAUCAUAACUCCCUGCAGCUAACAAAAUUUUGCAAAUAUAAACUCACUGAAAAGAUUAUAACAUUCCCUAGAACUUUUAUUAUAAUGAGUGUCUCGGAAUUGGUUUCCAAACCGAUAAAACAAUGCAACUCUUUUGUUUCAAAACUGAUAAGAUUGAAACAAUGGACAACUAAAAUUCAAAAACCUAUAACUCCUGCUAUACUCAACUUAAACUACAACGAACACGCGUUGGAAAAGUUUUGAAAAUUGUCCACGACUUUUGCAAUAAAGUUGCACCCAAAUUUAUCCUUAUAGCCCACAACUCUGCAUGACCUACAGCUAAACUCAGCCUGAGAUACUGCACAUUAGAGAUUCGACUUAUAUCCGGGCAACCACCUCUCCAAAUCUAUUUAACAGACAGUUACAAGUAAAUACCCAUUAAAAAGGUACUGAAAAUACCUACAAGUUUUGCUUAAAGAGAAUUCGCAAAUUUGUGCUCUGCAACUAUCAAAACGCGGUCGAUUUAUUGGUGAUUAUAACGACGCCUAAAGUUUAGACACAACAGUGCAACAACUUCAGAGCAACCUAACUCCAAUUAUAUGCAAUGAGAAUUAGAAACCCAUACUCUUUGAAAAGAUCAUGAAAUUACUAAAACUUUCAUAAUCCACAAAGACCAAAUUAUACCGUCUUAAAUGUCUACUCUUCCGUACAAAAUUAAAGACUCACUCUGCUAGAGACACCAACAAAGAUGUUUUAAGAAACCCAUAUCUCUCAAAUGUUUAGACCAAACAUGGUGAUUAAGCAUCCUAUGGAAAGAUGCAGAAACAUACUACAAAACAUUCUAGAUAAGUGAGCCUGAUUCAGCCUCCAACUAAUUUAAAAUGCCUCCCAAAACCAAACAACACAUUAUCAACAAUAAAAAAAACAAUAUAAAAUGAAACCCAAGUCAUUGGAAGGUGCCAUCAACACUAGGAUUUUCCACUACCAAACUGGGAUGCAACUCCACAAAGUAUUUAAAUAAAACUCUACCAAAUAGGUUAGAACACUAAGCACAACAAUCAAUGAAUUCAACAACCUCGUUUGUUAAUGCCACUAAGGUCAAACAUCCAUGUACCAACAAUGUAUGAAACACCUGACAUACCCGUCUCCAGCUCUAUAAAACAUGGUUGUUAUUACACUAGAAUCCAACUACUAGAAAUCUCCAAAACUAUUCUGUUGACGUGAAGCAAAUGGUGCUCAUGUCAUAUAACAUCUUUUCCCCCUCUCAAAAGAGAUAAAAUUUGCAAUACUCAUAAAGCAAUGGAGGGAUAACAACAAGAAAAAACUAAUGUACUUCUUGACACAGACUCAUGCAAAAGCUUCAUAAAUAUUACUUUCAACACUAAAAUAAUAACACGAUACUAUGCUCAACAGGAGUAAUUGGACUUCAAUAAGAUAAUCCACCUAACCCAAUGUAACACCCGAAAUCUUGUUUUGGGGAUUAGUAGAAGAGAUCAAAGUAAAAUAUCAACUAAUGGAUAAUUAUACUUUGGAAUUCACCCUUUCUAAAAUAAAUAGUAAAAUUUAAAGCAAUGAGAGUUAAUAUACAUAUAUAUAAUAAAAGAAUUACAAUUUAUUAUCCCCUUCAAGAAAUAUAUAAACUAUUCUCUUUUGAGUUAAAAUCACUUUUAGAGUUCACAUUAAAUUCUUCCUAAAUUAAAAGGGUAAGAUAUACAUUCAAUAUAAUGACUUCUUUAGAAUAAGUGGAUGUGAAGCAUCUUAUCUAAAUAAAUAAAAUAAAUCUUUGCAUCAUUCUGGGACUAUUUUGGUUGUUUCAUAUAAACUGGACUUUGAAAUUCAAAACAGGUUUGAAUUAGUGACUCAUUUAAAUUUAAAAUAGUUAAAACAAAUAGAAAUUUAAAUUAGAAAAGGAAAAAGGAGAAGGAAACCUGCACCUGGGCCAAAUCUCACCUGUCUCGGCCCAUCUCUCCUCUUUCCCCUCAAACGCACGCCGGCCCAGCUCCCCACUUCCUCACAUCACGCGGGCCGAUCGGUCAUCUUCACGCGCUCGUUUCUGUGUGUCGCUGCCGGAUCGGGCCCACUGAUCAGGACCUCACCCGCGCACACGACUGGCUCCGCUUCCGCGCACUGGUUCGGUCACUGCUGCGUGGGGCCCAGCGGUCGGAAUCGUCCCCUCCCCCUCGCGUCCGCCUAAACUGAACCCCGGGAAUUUCUGCGCGGUGGUCGCUGGGCCGUCCCAACCACCGGCCGGGAUUCCCUCGCGCUAGUGGAUAAAAGGGGAUCCCUCGACCACGCUCGCCAUGCUCGUAUCACCGCGGAUCUCGCCAAUGGAAGCCAGUCCGCCCAGCCGUGUCGACCUGGCCGAUUUUCGCGCCGUCCUCACCGGACCUCCGCUCGGCCGCCGUGCAUGGCGCAACCGACCCUCUCAGCUCGGACUCGCCCCGCCCCUAUAUAACCCGGCUGCUCUAAGCUCCCUUAUCCAUCUCGACGAAUCACCAAGUGAACCAUAGACCGAGGAAGAGAGAAUGCUCGCUGCCAUGGUUGACCUCUGUGCGCGUCAUCGACGAGGCCUUAGUGUCGACUCUGGGUACUUCUCCUCAACACUAGGGGCGCCGCUGAACCCCGGAAUUGCUCACCGGCGAUAGGGCUCCACCGUGGACCCUCCAUGCCGCGUGGGUAGCUAGCUUUGCGUGCCCAACCACCGGUAAGUGAACUUGAACCCUAUCGCCAUUGUCUCAUCUCCGCAUAGCACGUUUCGUUUGUGGAAAAUAAUUGCAGUAGGGCUGGAUUGCCGUUCUCCGGCGUGUUCGCCGCCGCAACCAGGCGAGGUGUCGCCGUGAUUCGGCCGGUGAGAAAGGGGGUGUGCGUGGACCGUUGAUCUGGUUGUGGGUGGUUUUGAUUAAAAGCUACCUUGUUGUUUCGCGGGGAUCAUCUCGUUCGUCAGUCGGUGGAUGAACGGUCGGGGUUGGGUCUCAACGUUUUAAUGGUUGGGUCAAAUCUGGGCCGUGGGCUUUUAAUCCAAAGGUUAAUACAGAUCCAUACCCCUUCGGCUUGCUAUCUUGCAAAAGAGCCCUCCUGGAAUUUGAAAACCAACCCGCAAUCCACGGCAGAGAAACUCUGAGUCUGCGGACUUUUUGUGUUAACGCCCCUGUACUUUCUGAUAAUAUUGCGCCAAGUCCAGAGAACAAUAAAAAUAGAAAAUUGAUUAUAGAAAAUGAUUUUUAAUACAAAAACAAUAUUAGAAACUUGUAUAAUUCCUAGAAACUUCAAAUUAAGUCCAAAUUGAUCCAUUCUAGUUUCUAUAAUUUUGUAAUAAUAUUGUCUAUCAACUAGUAACACUGUUUAGCCAUGAAACUUGAAUUAAAAUUUUUCAUUUGGAUUAAUCUAUUCUAAGCACUAAAUAAUUUCAGAAAUUCAUAACUUAAUAACCGUAGCUCCGAAUUCUGGGGUUCUUGUUUCCACGAUCUCGUAGCAGCGCGUAGAUUAUUAUUAUGCAACUUAUUCUUAUGUUUGGUGUGAUGUUAAUUUUAUCUAUACACUGUUUGUUUGUAUUGCUACGACUAGUGCGAGGUACGAGUUAUCUGAAGAGCAAGUUGGUACUUGGAAUCUCAAGUCCCAGGCAAGUUGUGCCCUUGAUCACUUCUUUUUACCCACUCAUGUUCUAAUUAAUCAUAAUGAUCUGCAUAGGUUAAUUUUGAUGGGACCUAAUAGGUUACCCUAGUUUGUCUAUCUUUAUACCUUGUUUACCACUGAACUUUUUGGGUAGUACUUGCUAGUGCUUUAUGUGGUUUUGGGUAUGAAGAUACAUUAUUCAUGAUCACACUUUUAUUAUCUGUUUAUUAUUACUGUUCAUGAUAAGAUCAUUAUGUUAAUUGGAACAUGGAGCGACCACCCGGGAAAACAGUGCUACCACAAGGGUUUAAUGGGACGCCCUUGGCUGAUUAAUUAGGAAAGCUAGUGGAAGACUACCUUACCCGAAAGGGGCAAGGGCAGUAGGGGAGUGGUCAGUGUAGGGAGGCCCUCGGGAGGAUUUUGCUGCGAUGGCGGUCCUGCAAGGGAUUCCUGCAUUGGAACUUCCUAUAAACUGUAGCGGGUUUUCUGAAGCUAGUGGAACUUUGUAAAGGCCUCGUAGUGUUACCCUGCCUCGCCUCCUCGGUAGAGGUGUAUGGGAAGUCGCGAUCCCUUGGCAGAUGGGUAACAUGACUUGUGGGUAAAGAUGCGCAACCUCUGCAGAGUGUAAAACUGGUAUACUAGCCGUGCUCACGGUCAUGAGCAGCUCGGACCCUCACAUGAUUAAAUUAUGGAACUUAAACUCAAUUUGUCAUAUGCAUUGCAUCGCAGGUGAUGUUAUUACUUUUGUUGUACUACUUAACUGGGUUUGGUAUUUACUUAUACUUAGUAAUUGCUAAUAAAAUUUUGACCAACUUUAAAAGCAAUGCUCAGCUUCAACCAUCCUCUUUGGUAAGCCUUACACUUCACGUGAGCUCCCACCUUUGGCGAGUUCAUGCACAUUAUUCCCCACAACUUGUUGAGCGAUGAACGUAUGUGAGCUCACUCUUGCUGUCUCACACCCCCCCCACAGGUCAAGAGCAGGUACCGCAGGAUGAUGCGCUUGGAGGAUGCUGCGAUGUGUUCGUGAGAGGUCUAGGCCGUCGUCUCCCAGUCAACUUUGGGUUGCUGGACCGUUGUCUCCUUAUAAUGUAAUUAUUUACUUUGUACAAAUCUCCUGUUAUGUAGUAAAGAUGUGACAUUCGAUCCUGUGCCAUGAUUCAUCAUAUGUGUGAGACUUGGUCCCAGCACACCUGGUGAUUAUGUUCGCGCCCGGGUUUUGGACCCCUAAAAUCCGGGUGUGACAGAAGUGGUAUCAGAGGAAUGUUGACUGUAGGACGAAACCUAGAUAGAACUAGAUAACCAUUAUCUACUUACCUUUGCUACUCUGAUUCUUUUCUAAACUUUUCUUAAUCUUUUCUCAUCUAUUUCUGCUUUACUCUGAUAAUUCUUACCUUUUCUUUCUAAAGACAAAUGUGGAUUUCAAACUUUGAAAUCCCGUACCUAAGACGAUCUUUAGGAAUAGGAGACCUACUCGUAGAAAAAAAACUAUUUUAAUAAAUAUUGAUAUGCUUGUUCUUAUGAUGCUUGUCUGAUUUGGAUCUUUGAUUGAGUGUGAUGGGUUGUGGAGUAAUGUCCACAAUUACAUCUGCAUAUACAUAUAGGGAAAAAUACUUAAAAAAUAACUAGAUAAACUAGAUUAUCCCUCAUUUAAGUAUCUAGCCUAACAAUAUCCAUCUCAUCUCGAAAGAUUCUUUCCUACACUCAUAGAUCCAUCUUAUCUCGAAAAGAUUUUAUCUUAUUCUAAAUAGAACUAACUGACCUCAAAAGAUUCUACCUUAUCCGUAUGGAUUCAUCUUGCCCUAAUUAGCAUAUUUAUUCCACUCUAGAAUAACAACCAUGAGCUAAUCCAAAAAAAAACUUAUUUAGAUCUUAACUAGUCUAAUCUAGUCAUAUCCAACUUAAUCUAGAUUCUAUCUAAUCUAUUAUGACCUAAUCUAGAGUAAGUUACUCGAUACUGGUACAAAAGAUAAGGCCAUACCCUAAUCCACUUACGCCUAAAUUGGUGACUUAGAUCAACUCGGCCAUACACAACAAUUUGACCUAUAUUAUAGGUUACAUAACCUAUCCAACAAAUCUAGAAGCAAACAACCAAACCAGAUUCUGACUAAUCUCAAUCAACUCAUAGCUACCUACUAAACCAGCUACUCUACCUUCUAAGUCGUUGCCUACAAAUCUAUCUUAACCUCUUGUCCCUAACCCGGAUGAAGACACCAAGACUUGAGAAGGAGAUCAAACUCGUUGAAGAAUACUAAGAGUCAAGCCAUAUCUCCAAAGAAAGCAAGAUCCACAUUACCCUACUCUUUAAAGACAUCUUUUAUUCUACACAUUAGGUGGCUAUACAUAUACAUGUGCCCAUGCCUUGUUAAUCACCUCUACAGAUGCUAAAACUUCAAAAAAAAGACUUUGCAUAUUUAGACCAAAUAAUAAGAACUAUGCACCGACCUACAAACCAAUCUUUUGUAUCCGUUUUCUUACAAAUCUCGGGGACGAGAUUUUUGUUAAGGGGUAGGAUUUGUAACACCCGAAAUCUUGUUUUGGGGAUUAGUAGAAGAGAUCAAAGUAAAAUAUCAACUAAUGGAUAAUUAUACUUUGGAAUUCACCCUUUCUAAAAUAAAUAGUAAAAUUUAAAGCAAUGAGAGUUAAUAUACAUAUAUAUAAUAAAAGAAUUACAAUUUAUUAUCCCCUUCAAGAAAUAUAUAAACUAUUCUCUUUUGAGUUAAAAUCACUUUUAGAGUUCACAUUAAAUUCUUCCUAAAUUAAAAGGGUAAGAUAUACAUUCAAUAUAAUGACUUCUUUAGAAUAAGUGGAUGUGAAGCAUCUUAUCUAAAUAAAUAAAAUAAAUCUUUGCAUCAUUCUGGGACUAUUUUGGUUGUUUCAUAUAAACUGGACUUUGAAAUUCAAAACAGGUUUGAAUUAGUGACUCAUUUAAAUUUAAAAUAGUUAAAACAAAUAGAAAUUUAAAUUAGAAAAGGAAAAAGGAGAAGGAAACCUGCACCUGGGCCAAAUCUCACCUGUCUCGGCCCAUCUCUCCUCUUUCCCCUCAAACGCACGCCGGCCCAGCUCCCCACUUCCUCACAUCACGCGGGCCGAUCGGUCAUCUUCACGCGCUCGUUUCUGUGUGUCGCUGCCGAAUCGGGCCCACUGAUCAGGACCUCACCCGCGCACACGACUGGCUCCGCUUCCGCGCACUGGUUCGGUCACUGCUGCGUGGGGCCCAGCGGUCGGAAUCGUCCCCUCCCCCUCGCGUCCGCCUAAACUGAACCCCGGGAAUUUCUGCGCGGUGGUCGCUGGGCCGUCCCAACCACCGGCCGGGAUUCCCUCGCGCUAGUGGAUAAAAGGGGAUCCCUCGACCACGCUCGCCAUGCUCGUAUCACCGCGGAUCUCGCCAACGGAAGCCAGUCCGCCCAGCCGUGUCGACCUGGCCGAUUUUCGCGCCGUCCUCACCGGACCUCCGCUCGGCCGCCGUGCAUGGCGCAACCGACCCUCUCAGCUCGGACUCGCCCCGCCCCUAUAUAACCCGGCUGCUCUAAGCUCCCUUAUCCAUCUCGACGAAUCACCAAGUGAACCAUAGACCGAGGAAGAGAGAAUGCUCGCUGCCAUGGUUGACCUCUGUGCGCGUCAUCGACGAGGCCUUAGUGUCGACUCUGGGUACUUCUCCUCAACACCAGGGGCGCCGCUGAACCCCGGAAUUGCUCACCGGCGAUAGGGCUCCACCGUGGACCCUCCAUGCCGCGUGGGUAGCUAGCUUUGCGUGCCCAACCACCGGUAAGUGAACUUGAACCCUAUCGCCAUUGUCUCAUCUCCGCAUAGCACGUUUCGUUUGUGGAAAAUAAUUGCAGUAGGGCUGGAUUGCCGUUCUCCGGCGUGUUCGCCGCCGCAACCAGGCGAGGUGUCGCCGUGAUUCGGCCGGUGAGAAAGGGGGUGUGCGUGGACCGUUGAUCUGGUUGUGGGUGGUUUUGAUUAAAAGCUACCCUGUUGUUUCGCGGGGAUCAUCUCGUUCGUCAGUCGGUGGAUGAACGGUCGGGGUUGGGUCUCAAUGUUUUAAUGGUUGGGUCAAAUCUGGGCUGUGGGCUUUUAAUCCAAAGGUUAAUACAGAUCCAUACCCCUUCGGCUUGCUAUCUUGCAAAAGAGCCCUCCUGGAAUUUGAAAACCAACCCGCAAUACACGGCAGAGAAACUCUGAGUCUGCGGACUUUUUGUGUUAACGCCCCUGUACUUUCUGAUAAUAUUGCGCCAAGUCCAGAGAACAAUAAAAAUAGAAAAUUGAUUAUAGAAAAUGAUUUUUAAUACAAAAACAAUACUAGAAACUUGUAUAAUUCCUAGAAACUUCAAAUUAAGUCCAAAUUGAUCCAUUCUAGUUUCUAUAAUUUUGUAAUAAUAUUGUCUAUCAACUAGUAACACUGUUUAGCCAUGAAACUUGAAUUAAAAUUUUUCAUUUGGAUUAAUCUAUUCUAAGCACUAAAUAAUUUCAGAAAUUCAUAACUUAAUAACCGUAGCUCCGAAUUCUGUGGUUCUUGUUUCCACGAUCUCGUAGCAGCGCGUAGAUUAUUAUUAUGCAACUUAUUCUUAUGUUUGGUGUGAUGUUAAUUUUAUCUAUACACUGUUUGUUUGUAUUGCUACGACUAGUGCGAGGUACGAGUUAUCUGAAGAGCAAGUUGGUACUUGGAAUCUCAAGUCCCAGGCAAGUUGUGCCCUUGAUCACUUCUUUUUACCCACUCAUGUUCUAAUUAAUCAUAAUGAUCUGCAUAGGUUAAUUUUGAUGGGACCUAAUAGGUUACCCUAGUUUGUCUAUCUUUAUACCUUGUUUACCACUGAACUUUUUGGGUAGUACUUGCUAGUGCUUUAUGUGGUUUUGGGUAUGAAGAUACAUUAUUCAUGAUCACACUUUUAUUAUCUGUUUAUUAUUACUGUUCAUGAUAAGAUCAUUAUGUUAAUUGGAACAUGGAGCGACCACCCGGGAAAACAGUGCUACCACAAGGGUUUAAUGGGACGCCCUUGGCUGAUUAAUUAGGAAAGCUAGUGGAAGACUACCUUACCCGAAAGGGGCAAGGGCAGUAGGGGAGUGGUCAGUGUAGGGAGGCCCUCGGGAGGAUUUUGCUGCGAUGGCGGUCCUGCAAGGGAUUCCUGCAUUGGAACUUCCUAUAAACUGUAGCGGGUUUUCUGAAGCUAGUGGAACUUUGUAAAGGCCUCGUAGUGUUACCCUGCCUCGCCUCCUCGGUAGAGGUGUAUGGGAAGUCGCGAUCCCUUGGCAGAUGGGUAACAUGACUUGUGGGUAAAGAUGCGCAACCUCUGCAGAGUGUAAAACUGGUAUACUAGCCGUGCUCACGGUCAUGAGCAGCUCGGACCCUCACAUGAUUAAAUUAUGGAACUUAAACUCAAUUUGUCAUAUGCAUUGCAUCGCAGGUGAUGUUAUUACUUUUGUUGUACUACUUAACUGGGUUUGGUAUUUACAUAUACUUAGUAAUUGCUAAUAAAAUUUUGACCAACUUUAAAAGCAAUGCUCAGCUUCAACCAUCCUCUUUGGUAAGCCUUACACUUCACGUGAGCUCCCACCUUUGGCGAGUUCAUGCACAUUAUUCCCCACAACUUGUUGAGCGAUGAACGUAUGUGAGCUCACUCUUGCUGUCUCACACCCCCCCCCCACAGGUCAAGAGCAGGUACCGCAGGAUGAUGCGCUUGGAGGAUGCUGCGAUGUGUUCGUGAGAGGUCUAGGCCGUCGUCUCCCAGUCAACUUUGGGUUGCUGGACCGUUGUCUCCUUAUAAUGUAAUUAUUUACUUUGUACAAAUCUCCUGUUAUGUAGUAAAGAUGUGACAUUCGAUCCUGUGCCAUGAUUCAUCAUAUGUGUGAGACUUGGUCCCAGCACACCUGGUGAUUAUGUUCGCGCCCGGGUUUUGGACCCCUAAAAUCCGGGUGUGACACCCAACUACUUUGAUUAACCUCACAUACAACAAUACCUCCUAUUAUUGCACUUGAACAAUUUGUACCUAGUGAUGUCAUAGGAUGAAUUCAAAGUAGUAGACAUACAUGAUCUAUCAAACCAUCAUUCAUAUAAUAAAAAUCUCCAUCUAAUGCAACAACCACAUCAUUAUAGAGAUAGAUGACUAACAAACAUAAGCAACUUCCAGUUAAACAUUGACUUUGUUUAAGAUAAAGCGGUCCAAAUAAUAAUUCCACAAGCAUGCAUAGAGAACUGAUCAUAUAAAAAAACUACCAUGUAUCAUCGGCGAUUAAAAACAAUAUAAAACGGGUUGUCCAUAUCGUUCGCAUGACUAGCCUCCAACAAAUAGAAAUUAUGCAUAACCUUUUUGGCUAUAGAAACAAACCAUAGAAGGAAAACAUGCAUGCCUCUUCAACUAUAAUAUAGACAUAAAAUCCACUUGAAAUCACCCUAUUUAUUAUUAAAGAUAAGGUUGCACACAAUAAGAAAACCUAUCGUGUAAACAUGGUUGGACUUAUCUACCCACGUCAUCUUGCAAAUUCACUUGAGUUCUUCUAGUCUCAAGAUUUCAUAGACAGUACAACAUUGCCUUUGCUCUAUGGAGACAAACCUAUUGUACUCUAAGAUCAAGUUGGCAAGUAGCCACACUAGCCAAUAAAAAGGUGAGGUGUAAAGCACUGCACCCAUGGAAAUAUUACAUUGAUAAGUUGGGUUGUAACCCAACAGUCAAUCCAACUCAACAACACCAUAAAACUUCAUUGUAUAGUGUUUUCAAACUACACCAAGUCGGAUUAGAUCCUCUAUACACAAGCUCAAUAAACAAUCGAUCCUACAAGUACUAGAACCCAAGAAUCCUUUUGGGGAAAAAAACAUCCACAGUCAAGCAUAUAGAAAUAUAUGAUGGUAAUAGCUCAGAGAUUAGUAAACAUUGCAUCCCAAAAAACUUCAUGACGAUAUGUAUAUAAAACAAGUACAUUAGUAGCUUCACUCGCAUAAUAAUUUCAAUAACAACCACAUCAAGAAACCAAUAUUAAAUAGAAGUAACAUUUCAUAUCAAGCAUUACGUCGUUAACGACAUACCUCAUCAAACCAUAAAGGGGUUUGAAGUAAGGAAAUUCUAGUCAUCUAUACAAUAAAAUACUAAUAUGAAAGAUAUAUGAACCCAUACCCUUCCUAUAUGUGCAAGUGUGUCAAAUUUAUCUUCAAAUUGCGUAGAAUCUAAAGCCUAUCCUCUGAUACCAACUGUAACACUCCAGGUUCCACAAACAACCCGGUAUGCUACUGUACUACACUUCCGACGUCCAUAUAUAAAAUUUCGGCAGCAUCCCCUUUGCAAGAUUGCAUAAAAGAGGGAGCAACGGAGUAUAAACAUAUAUCAUGACUAAAACAUACUAAGUAUUAUUACUCGGCUAGCAAGGAAAGAUAAACAUACGACCUGAACUGAAUUAACCAGUGCGCACGACCAUAUAAAAAAAAUAAACAAACUUCCUUUGACAAUAAGUUUCUAAUUAAAUCAUGGCUGCGCCUGGGCAGCGUUAUUGUGAGAGUGAAAGUGGACGUGCUGCUACUCCCCUCAUUCCCAACAUGUAUCAAGUACCUGCAUUGAGUAAUGCAAGAGUGAGAUGACACAUCUCAGCAAGUAAAAUAAUAUCAAACAGUUUAACCACAUAAGAACAUUGUUUUACCACCACUUAAUUCCACAACCUUCUUAUUACGAAGGUGCAGCACGUAUACAACGUACAACGCACCUAGUUACCACACCUCGCAGGUAGAAACCACAAUAGUAACAUAGUAAUGUCACACUUUAUAUAUUCCUCAUGAGUGCAAAUGUCUGCAAAUGCAAGGAUGACUUCUGCCUUCAUACCUCUAAGGAUAUGAAGCCGCAUCGUACCCCUCCUUGGGCAACGUACGAUGCUAAAAAUGUACCGGUACGGUCGGACCAUAAGAUCACGACAUAACUUCAAAAUGCAAGAUGGAUGAUGCGAUGUGCAUGUCAUGCCUACAACACUUCAUAUAACAUGAUUCAAAAAGACACUUCAACUUCAUCCAGAUGGGAAUCAACCCCAUAUAUCAUUACCAAAUUAUGAUCAUCCACAAUAUUAGACAAUUGAGAAUUAAUACUUCCAAACAAAUAAACUUCAUCAUAGAAUUCAAUGAUUAACAUAAUUAAAACUUAUGCAUACUCAAUGACAGGGAAUAGGAUGCAAACCAAACGGUAGCAACCACCACUGUAUUUACUUGCCUUUACCGGAAGUUCGGGCAAAUCCCAAGUACGAUCCGGAAGCCCAGCACCUGUUUUUGACACCCAACUUAGUACACCAAUUUCACAUAAUCAGGCUCAUAAGCGACGCCGCACCUACGCACAAACUCAAACCCCGCCGCGGGUUACAUCUCUCCCUACACCCACCAAACUGCAGCGGCGCUGCUUAAUAAUUUCAUAACUUUAAAAUUAUGACAGCAGUGGUAACAAACAAAAACUCCAGAGGCAUCUACAUAAAAUUCCCCACAAGUUUUGUAUACAAUUUAUAAUUAAAUUACAAUAUCUAAUUAGCCCAAAACAGUCCACAAGAUGAACCCUGUAAUCUGUUUUUUCUUUGUCUUUUGGACAGCGACAUACCCAGAUUCAAACAGCGAUAUCUUUUAAAAUAUAAUUCCAAAUCAAGCGCAUAAGUACUCAUUGGAAAGAUAAGACAAAUCCCUACAUGAUUACCAUACUGGUUAACACUAAUUACCCACGAAAAAUUCCCAGAAACUGCUAAUACCACUGCUGUUCACCCACCUGAAAAAUCUGUUUUUUUGGACAGCAACAUAACCGGAUUCAAACAACGAUAUCUCCUGAAUUAUAACUCCGAAUCGAGCACAUAAGUACUUGUUGGAAAGAUAACAUAAAGCCCUACAUGAUUCUCAUACUGAUUAACACUAAUUACUCCCGAAAAAUCCCCAGAAACUGCUAAUACUGCUGCUGUUCAUCCCCCUGAAAAAUCUGUUUUUUUUGGACAGCCACACCCGGAUUCAAACGGUGAUAACUUUCAAUUUAUAACUCCAAAUUGAGCGCAUAAAUACUCGUUGGAAAGGUAAGGUAAAGUUCUACAUGAUCCCCAAACUGAUUUCCCUUAAUUCCUCACGAAAAAAACACAGAAACUGCUAGACUACUGCUGUUCACCCACCACCUAAAAUUCUGGACAGCCCCCUCUAUCCCAAUCGCAAACGCAACCUCUAAUCAAUUAAAUUGCAGCACAAAUGAACAAGGGAUGAACACAAAAACCACCUUGGAUUCUCCCCCUUUCCUUCUUCCCUUCUUGCCUCCACCAAAACGAUUGAAGACUCGCACCACAACGACGAUGAUCCGAGCGGCAAGGAUUAGCACCUUGGGAGGAGGGGAUUGAGAGGGGGGGGGGGGCGGCUAGGGUUUGGUGGCUGCAAGAAUUGAGAGAGGAGGAGAUGGGCAGGGGGGCGGCGGCCAAGGGGGAAGAGAAG
RNAcentral lists this long non-coding RNA (17423 nucleotides) under Zea mays. Its description in RNAcentral is "long non-coding RNA (ZMAY_LNC004379)". The record is from RNAcentral. Lineage: Eukaryota; Viridiplantae; Streptophyta; Magnoliopsida; Poales; Poaceae.